GACGAACGCUGGCGGCGUGCUUAACACAUGCAAGUCGAACGGAAAGGCCCGGCUCUUGUUGGGUGCUCGAGUGGCGAACGGGUGUGUAACACGCGUGUAACCUCCCCUUGACUUUGGGGUAAAUUCACGGAACUCGGGAGCAUAUCCGGUAGGAUAUCCUGCAGCACGUUGGUGGAUGGAGAGAUUCGGCUGUUGGGGAUGGUCUGGCGGCUUAUCCGCUUGUUGGUCGGGUAGGGGCUUACCAAGGCUAUGACGGGUAGGCGGCGUGAGAGGGUGGCCGGCCACCAUGCGACUGCGGUACGGCGCAGAAGCCAAUGGGAGGCAGCAGUGGAGAAUAUUACGCAAUGGGGGGAAGCCAGAUGCAGCAACGCCGCGUGCGGGAUGACGUCUUUCGGGUUGUAAACCGCUUUCGCCUGUGCCGAAGCGGGAGUGACGGUAAUGGGUAAAGAAGCACCGGCUAACUACGUG
This 468-nucleotide ribosomal RNA is filed under the name uncultured bacterium. RNAcentral describes it as "partial 16S ribosomal RNA". It matches the Rfam family "Bacterial small subunit ribosomal RNA", at positions 28 to 507 of the family's 1533-position model. The record is from RNAcentral.